RNAcentral lists this long non-coding RNA (389 nucleotides) under Vigna radiata. Its description in RNAcentral is "long non-coding RNA (VRAD_LNC004248)". Lineage: Eukaryota; Viridiplantae; Streptophyta; Magnoliopsida; Fabales; Fabaceae. The record is from RNAcentral.
UUAAAUUCAUCCAUUACUUUAUUUCUAUAACUAACUUUCUCACCCACAUAGUCUUGCGGUUUUGAUUUGAACACGUAAAAACAACAUUUUUGAAGAUAAAGUUUAUCCAUUAUUUUCUCUUUCUCUUUAAAUGACUUUUACUAACGUGUGUGUGUAUAUAUAUAUAUAUAUAUAUAUAUAAGGGGUUUGUUAAUACGCGUACGCCUGUUUUUCAGUUGGUACGUUUUAACAAUGUGUAUCGGAUUAUAGUAGACAAAAAUACCCUCAUUUGUCAUGAAUCAUAACUUUUAAGGUCAAGGAUAUUUAAAUAAUUUUCAUUCUCAAAACUAAAAAAAGAAAAACGAAACCCCCAAACCCUUACUCACCUCCCUCAUUCCUCUCAACCCUUN